UGGGUGUGCGACGCUGGGAUCGAUCAGGAAGGGUAAACCCCUUUUUCUUCUCUAGUUCCUCAAAUCUCUAACAAAUUGAAGGUGUUUCUAGGCAUAAAUCGAAUGCAUGUGACCAAAUUCUCAACCAUCUAAGGGUUUCCUACAUAGGGAGUGAAAGAAGAAUGAGCUAAUUCUGGUUCGCAACAAAAGGCUCAAGAACGAGGUAAAACCUCAAUUUAAUCGGUUCGGCGUCUUGGAACGAGCACCCACAUGUAUUUCGCCUAUAAGCGUUUCCGCUACUUUUAGUAACAAAGUUAUGGUUAAAAGUAUUUUGUUGUAAUUAGUCUUGUUUAAUAACUAGACUUUUGGAGUUCGACUUGAUGUGUCUUUUUAAAAUUUUC
Molecule: long non-coding RNA, 380 nt
Organism: Helianthus annuus (common sunflower)
Lineage: Eukaryota; Viridiplantae; Streptophyta; Magnoliopsida; Asterales; Asteraceae
Exons: 3
Source: RefSeq, a predicted model, not a curated record